CGAUGGCACAAGUUAGAGGGCGUGGCUUGUUCACAACAACGUCCUUUCACAGAAAGAACACGGGACGGGGAGUUCGCAGCUGUCAUAGACAAGCUUGAAAUCCCAUCCCAGUUCACUUAAAUCGUAUGGAAAAGAGCACCCUAGACAUUCUGCUAAACUUCUCAUUUGGUGUUCCACAGAAGAAAAAUAAUCAGAUUUGAAAUAACAUGAGGGUGGAAAAGAAAGAUGUUCAUAUGCAGAGGGAACUGGAGGACAGAAGUGCUGUUGUAUCUGGAACUUUACCUCAUUGCUGGCAUACUUAAAGAAUGAUGCAUGGAAAGGUUGCUACUGCAGAGAGCAGGUUGGAGGCAGAGAAUGAGCAGGCAGCAUUAGGCGAGCACAAAGCAGAGAAAAAGAAAUUGCAAAGCACAAUGGCAUUAGAACAAAAUUUGACAGUACCAUGACAGUACAAUUAAAAAUUAAAGUCUACAACUGGGACAACAGCUCUGAAUACAGAUAUACAGUGGCCUCAAAAAGUAUUUGGACACUUAAUGUAUGAAUAUCAUUACAUUAGAUAACAAAAUAUCAAACCACAUGUGAUUUAUUUUAAAAGAUAGCAUAAGCAUACUUUUAAAGUUAAAAAGAACAACAUAGUAGUUACAGAUUUAAAAUGAUAACACAAUAGAUAUACUGUGAGACAAACUGUGAUUGGAAAUAGUAGACCACAUCUAUAUUACUUGUCUUACUGCUUAGACACCUGAGAGAAAAUUGCCUAUUGCAUCCCUUAAAAAAUGACCAUAAGACUGGUUGGUUAAAUAAAAGUAAUUGCAAAUAUGACUCAAAGUUCUCUUAAAAAUGCUGAAAAAUUGUAUGUUUUGUUUUCUAAUUCAAUUGAACUAAUACAUUUUAAAGUGUAACUUUAAGUGUCCAAAUAUUUUUGGGGCCUAUUCAUGUGGUCUUCACAGCUACUAUAGAAUGUUUUUAAACCCUUCUUAAGUAUAGGGAACAAUACAAAGAUGAUGUGCG
Xyrauchen texanus (razorback sucker) is the source of this 1005-nucleotide long non-coding RNA. RefSeq lists it as uncharacterized. The record is from RefSeq and is a predicted model, not a curated record. Lineage: Eukaryota; Metazoa; Chordata; Actinopteri; Cypriniformes; Catostomidae. The transcript is spliced from 3 exons.